RNAcentral lists this ribosomal RNA (253 nucleotides) under uncultured bacterium. Its description in RNAcentral is "partial 16S ribosomal RNA". It matches the Rfam family "Bacterial small subunit ribosomal RNA", at positions 524 to 776 of the family's 1533-position model. The record is from RNAcentral.
UACGUAGGUCCCAAGCGUUAUCCGGAAUUACUGGGCGUAAAGCGUCUGUAGGCGGAUUCUUAAGUUUCGUAUGAAAGACCAGGGCUCAACCCUGUGUUUGUGCGAAAAACUGGGAGUCUAGAAUCAGGGAGAGGUAAGUAGAAUUGUAUGAGUAGGGGUGCAAUCCGUAGAUACAUACAAGAAUACCAAAAGCGAAGGCAACUUACUGGAACUGUAUUGACGCUGAGAGACGAAAGCGUGGGGAGCGAAAAGG